This 166-nucleotide microRNA precursor is filed under the name Oryza rufipogon (brownbeard rice). RNAcentral's name for it is "MIR812 microRNA precursor family". It matches the Rfam family "MIR812 microRNA precursor family", at positions 27 to 189 of the family's 205-position model. The record is from Rfam by way of RNAcentral. Lineage: Eukaryota; Viridiplantae; Streptophyta; Magnoliopsida; Poales; Poaceae.
AAAAAGGCUUUGACUGUCCGUCUUAUAUGAAAUUUUUUUAUAAUUCGUAUUUUUAUUGUUGUUAGAUGAUAAAACAUGAUUAAUACUUUGUGCGUGACUUGUCUUUUUAAUUUUUUUCAUAAUUUUUUCAAAUAAGACGGACGGUCAAACAUUGGGCACGGAAACC